RNAcentral lists this ribosomal RNA (124 nucleotides) under Neogale vison (American mink). Lineage: Eukaryota; Metazoa; Chordata; Mammalia; Carnivora; Mustelidae. The record is from RNAcentral.
CUAAAGACCCAUACCACCCUGAAUGCGCCCGAUCUCGUCUGAUCUCGGAAGCUAAGCAGGGUCGGGCCUGGUUAGUACUUGGGUGGAAGACCCUACCUAUCAUCUGAUACAGCCAGAUUGGAGG